AGGGAUUGUGGUAAAUACCAUCGGUAUUGCUGAGCAAAGCCUGGAAAUCAGAAGUCCACGUGUCAGCAGGUAUACAAGUCCCUGUUUUCUCAGGGUUCUGCAUGGAGGAAGUGUCAUGAAGAUGACUGACUACAGGAGGACAAACCCUCUACUGACACAGAGGAAAAAGC
This 170-nucleotide long non-coding RNA is filed under the name Mustela putorius furo (domestic ferret). RNAcentral describes it as "lncRNA (ENSMPUG00000027570.1)". Lineage: Eukaryota; Metazoa; Chordata; Mammalia; Carnivora; Mustelidae. The record is from RNAcentral.